UUUGUUUGUAAACUCCGUAGGAAAGAACUAAAACUUAAUUGCUCAUUACCAUCCCCAUCUCUUUACAAACAGACUUCUUUUCCCAUGGUUUUUUCUCUUAACAAAAAUUUGGGAUCCCAUCCUUCACUUCAAUAUAGGAUUUUAUCUUUUAAUUCGAUCCCUCCUCUAUUAAUCUUCUCAAUCUGGAACUUUUUAUUUACCGAAGUUUUCUUCUUCACCUCCAUCACCAGCUCUAUUGUUCCCGAAAUUAGAUUCACGGUUAAUUUAUAACCUUAAAAGGGGAUGAUAAGAUUAUCAAACUUAUAAACAGGGUUACACUAAGGUUAUCAUCCCCUUUGUUCGUUCGUAUUCAAACCCCUAAUUUUGUUGUUUGUUUUUACCAUGAUUUCUUUCCCUAAAUUUUUUGAUUCCAAUUUUUCAAUUUAACCUAAUAAAUCUUUAUCUCUAUGAAAAGAAUUUGUGAAUUUUAUUUGUUUUGUAGGAUUUUUUUAAUGGUGUGAGGACAAGUAAUUGUUAGUAGAUGCUUAUUAGCUUCAUUGGAUGGACUUACUAGAUCCGCUGUAAGUUUUAAAGUUCUUCAAGGUUAGGGUAUAGUAAUAGGUCUUUUUGUCAAUUAUGCAACCUUUAUUCCUUCUAAGGUCUUGUAUUAAUCUUCCUCUUGCACUCUUAAAUUGAGUGAGAAUAAAUUAGUUCUGAGUUUGUUACUAGUUGGAUAAGAUAAGUUCCGGGUUUUAGAGUUGUUAAAUUGAGUGGAAGUAUUUCCAUUUCCAUAAUAAGAUUCAUUUUUUGUUGAUUCAUAGGGUAUAGAUUACUGAUAUCUCAAAUGUGGGUAAGACUGCUGCAUAUACACUUGUAACACGGUGUCUCAGUUUUGUGGAAUUCUUUUGUUGCAAUAUUGCUUUUUGUUAAUACUUAAUUAGGAUUGCAGUUUGUGAAGGCUUGACAGAAGUUUUAAGAUGCUUAUUUAUAUGUAUGUAUAUGCGUAUAUUAAUUUGUACACAAUACCCUCUAUGAAUGUUGUUUGACUCGUUUUCUCAUCCUAAUUGCCGUAGCCUCCAUAUAGUACUGUAGAAUGGAUGAGAGUAAAUGUGUCGUUGUAUUUAUAAUAGCCUUACUGUGAACGAACUGAACAAAUGGUUUCCUUAGUGUGGAAUUUGGUUGCCUGGUAUCCAACUGGUUUAAAGAGAACUUAAUGUGGGUGAACUUAUGCGACUGUACACCGGUACUGAAUCUUCUUUUAUUCUCUUAGGUUGGCGAAUACAUAUGGUCUAACCAGUGACCAGUAGUGAUAAUGAAUUGACAUAUUAUAAAUGUCAGUUUUCAUUAUCAAUUCCGCAUCUUGUCCUCUAAUUAGGAUUGUAUUUUCUCCUUCUAUAGCAGUCUGCAGUCAAGAAUUUGGUUCUGUGACAUGAUCACCUGUUCUGUAUUCGUCCAGACAGAAGUUACUCAGAGGUUGAGCAAAGAUAAAGAAUCUUCCUGAAGACCUGCUGGAUUUUAUGACGAAUACAGAGAGAAGAUUCGGGUGAUUAGCGAUUUUAUAUUUGUAGUCUUGAUAUAUAUUUGCUCCUAUGAUUUAUAUAUAUUAUAGGGUAGUAUUUGUUGCUGCUGAAAACCUUUUACUUAACCUAGUUUUACCAUAUGACUUGUUUGGUAUGUGCAAAGUGAAUAUCUGGGUAACUUUGUUAAGUGAUUGAGUUCGUAGUUACUUGAGGAUCCAGGGAGUUGGUUUUCUAAUAAGUCUUUCCAGUAACCAAGUUAACUUGAUAGAUUCACUAAUGUGACACAAAACUUUAAAAGCCAAUGCGAACGAGGGAACAAGUUUUUCUUAUUUAUAAAUUUUUGUUCCGGAUUAUCUAUGCAGUGAUUUCUCUAGUCAAAGUAAAUUUCUAUUCAAAAUAAAUCUUCUUGUUUGAUUGUCUGUAGUUUCUCGUGCUUUCGGUAUAUUUAGAUUUGAUUUUGCAUUUUGUCUUUUUUGUUUUUGUUUUUAAACAUACUGAAGUUUCUUUUUAUUUCAUUAAUUUUUACGGAGGCUAGAGGUUGGUUGCAUCUUAUGCAAAACUUAAUUGGCUUUCGAGAUCGAAGGACUUCAUUGUGUCAGGUUUGUCUAUAAGGAAGUUAUAUAUGACGCAGGUAUUGGUGUUUACUUGUUUAUCCUGGUAUGCGCAAAGACUAUAUACCAUUUAAAUUGUGCUACCCUUAAAAAUGAAAAACCUUCUAGCGUUAAUGGUUAUAGUAAUGAUUAUAUUCAAAAUCGUCUUAUAGACUUAAUAAACGUGAAGGUGAAGGCCCCCUUCAGUUUUCAUCUCAAGAAGAAGCUUGAAUAUCCCUUGUCAUUAAUGAGAAUUUUAUGAACUCGACGGAAUAAAUUCGUUUUGCGGAACUUUCUGAUACAUUUUAUUUGGGUGACUGUGUUUUCUAGGUUCCAACGGUGUGUCAGGUAUGAUGGGUCGUCUUUGGGUUUUCCCCAUCAAAGCAAGGAACAUUUAGCUCUCUUGUGACCCCAGCAAUGAGAUGUGUCUACUGCUUAUGAUAAUACAACCAAACCACGUGGUUGACUUCUUUUUGCGCAAAGAAUUUCGUGAUCUAAUCUUUUGCAAUCCCCAUCAGUCAGUAAAUCAUACACAUGUAUUGGGCGAUUGUGGUUCCUCUAGAUACAAUCAUGUCACUCUGUUAUUGAUGAUUAAACAACCAAACGGGCUUCAGGGUACAAAAUCUAUUUCAUCUUGGAUUGGUUGUUUAAAGCACCAAAAGCUUAUGCCAUGGUGACCAGGCUUACUCCUGCCUAUCUGCAAGUUCUAGGUUGUUGUCUUGUUCAAGAAAUGUUGUUAUGGGAUCGACUAUGCCGUGUGGUUGGCUCCUUAUGAAGGAUCCGUUCACCCUGUAGCCUGUAGGGUCUUGUCAUGAGUUUACCGUGUUUGAUAUUGUUUUUUUUUUUUUUUUCAUUGAUGUAAAUAUUUGAUAGUUGAUGCUAAUUACAUAUAUACUAUAUUCCCUUUGUAUAAGUGAGCCUGUAAUAACAUUUUUGUUUAAAUCAAUAUAUAUUCCUUUAUUUA
Molecule: long non-coding RNA, 3053 nt
Organism: Papaver somniferum (opium poppy)
Lineage: Eukaryota; Viridiplantae; Streptophyta; Magnoliopsida; Ranunculales; Papaveraceae
Exons: 3
Source: RefSeq, a predicted model, not a curated record